GUAAAUGUCAACAUCCUGAGCUGGUUUGGGGACGGAUGACCUUUAAGUCGCUUCCUUCCCGUAUACAAAGAUUCAUUUUUAAGCCUAUCCGACACAUUGGUUAUACAGUAACAGUAUUCUAUUGCGUGUCUGGUCCUCUAUGCAUAUACCUUGCUAAUAACUGCUGACAAUUGUUAUUUUCCUGUUUUUCUCCCAGGGUGACCAAGGAGACAUUGGGCCACGGAUGGUUUUUCCCCGAUAUGACCAUGGCUUUCUCUCUGGAGAGCAGUCCAACAGCUUUCAGAGACGCUUUCUGAAGGGUGACCAGGGCCAGGCUGGACCUGCUGGUCCUCCCGGUCCCCCAGGUCCUCCUGGUCCCCGAGGGCCCCCUGGAAACACAGGCAAGGAUGGGCCCCGUGGUCCUGCUGGAGAGCCGGUAAGAGCCUCUCCUCAUGCAUCAACUCACUAUACAAAACAAUGCACCCAUACACACCCACACACUCCACUCUGCUGCUGUUAUUCUCCUCCUUCAUCACUCUGCCCCUUUCCCCUUAGCCUCUAACUAAGGUUUCACCACAAAGAAUGCAGUCACUUAAAAC
This 578-nucleotide long non-coding RNA is filed under the name Scophthalmus maximus (turbot). RNAcentral describes it as "lncRNA (ENSSMAG00000031834.1)". The record is from RNAcentral. Lineage: Eukaryota; Metazoa; Chordata; Actinopteri; Pleuronectiformes; Scophthalmidae.